This is a long non-coding RNA of Dreissena polymorpha, 358 nucleotides long. RefSeq lists it as uncharacterized. NCBI's taxonomy places the organism in Eukaryota, Metazoa, Mollusca, Bivalvia, Myida, Dreissenidae. The record is from RefSeq and is a predicted model, not a curated record. The transcript has 3 exons.
AAUGCCAUCAUAUUAACGGUUCAUGUGCCAUCUUUAAGCAGCAAUGCGACACUGGGUUUAAGAUGGACAAAGAUAUCUGUCAACCUUGUGAACGAAGACGCUUUGGUCCUAAUUGUGCCAACGACUGUCACUGUGAACAAUGCCAUAAUGUCAAUGGAUCGUGUUCUCUGUACACCAACUAUUGCGAUGGUGGCUACCGACUUUACAAUGGACUUUGUAAACCAUGCGGACAAAGACAAUAUGGCCAGAACUGUUCUACUGAAUGUCAUUGCGAAAGAUGCCACAUUGUCAACGGCUCGUGUGCCUUGUACAGUUCCGAUUGUGACAUGGGCUACCGGAUGGAAAAUGAUCUAUGUAU